AUGGGCAUAGAAAUGUCCAUUUUAUCCUUUGCUAAAGAUAAUUAUCCCAGAGAAACAGAAAUAAGGAGAAAAAAAGAAGCAGAAUGUUUCCUGAUAUCAAUAUCUGUGCAAGGAAUCCAAGGAAUAUCUGUGCAAGGAGAUGAUUUCAGAAAAAAAAAAGAAAAAAUCUUACAAGACAUUUUAGUAUUCUUACAGAGACUGUAUUGGAAUGUUUCAGAGUGAUUUGUUGAUCUGCUACUUUUUCAUUUUGCUUACGAAUGUGCUUGUCUAAUGCAGUUGAAUACUUCUAAAUAAAUGCUCUCAUAUAAACU
RNAcentral lists this long non-coding RNA (311 nucleotides) under Monodelphis domestica (gray short-tailed opossum). Its description in RNAcentral is "lncRNA (ENSMODG00000036128.2)". The record is from RNAcentral. Lineage: Eukaryota; Metazoa; Chordata; Mammalia; Didelphimorphia; Didelphidae.